RNAcentral lists this long non-coding RNA (718 nucleotides) under Gossypium barbadense (sea-island cotton). RNAcentral describes it as "long non-coding RNA (GBAR_LNC004914)". The record is from RNAcentral. Lineage: Eukaryota; Viridiplantae; Streptophyta; Magnoliopsida; Malvales; Malvaceae.
UUGAAUCGAGUUUGGACAAAAAUUUAUAUCCAUUUUUCGGGUCGAGCCAAAGCCUAUCAAUCGAGCUUAAAAUUUUGUUAAUGCUUUCUUAAUUUGUAUAUGAACUACUUGUUGAUCGUUAUAAUUGAUCUCCUUAUAAUAAUGAAGUAGAGAUUAAUGUGUUGCUCGGUGUUAUUUUUUCUUUCAUACAAAUUUUAAUGAAAGUAAUUUAGGGUUAAGAGCAAUGAAAUCCGUUUCUCAAAACAAACUAAAGCAAAAACUAAUAAAGAACAAAAACAAAAGCAAUAAAAUAUAUAGUUAAUACUGCCCAUCAAUACAAUGUAAUGCACAAAAGUGCAUUUAAUAAAUAAAAAACAACUACUAAAACUAUAAAUUAAGCAUAGAGGAAAGUAACAUAUUAAACCUAGAUAGAAGCAACACCGAAAUAACUAGCAUGAUGGGCAUAUUAGCAUAAAACCAUGUUUAAUGGCCAUUAUUACGGUGCUCAUUUUUUGCUUCCCUGCUUGGAAAACCACGAUCGCAUAUAUCACAUUUAAAUUUUAUCUCAUCUUUUGACGAAUAUUUUGGUGAUGCAAUACCUCUUUUAAGUUACUAAAAGUGUCUCUACAAAGGUUACAAAAGCCAUUGUAGUCCCUUCUCGAAACAUUUUCAACAGCAUUGGAUGCCAUUAUAAAGAAGAAGAAGUUGAGUUUAAAAGAUAAAAUAGUUUUAAGUUUUU